RNAcentral lists this ribosomal RNA (467 nucleotides) under uncultured Streptococcus sp. RNAcentral describes it as "bacterial SSU rRNA". It matches the Rfam family "Bacterial small subunit ribosomal RNA", at positions 916 to 1381 of the family's 1533-position model. The record is from RNAcentral. Lineage: Bacteria; Bacillati; Bacillota; Bacilli; Lactobacillales; Streptococcaceae.
ACGGGGCCCGCACAAGCGGUGGAGCAUGUGGUUUAAUUCGACGCAACGCGAAGAACCUUUACCAGGUCUUGACAUCCCGAUGCUAUUUCUAGAGAUAGAAAGUUACUUCGGUACAUCGGUGACAGGUGGUGCAUGGUUGUCGUCAGCUCGUGUCGUGAGAUGUUGGGUUAAGUCCCGCAACGAGCGCAACCCCUAUUGUUAGUUGCCAUCAUUCAGUUGGGCACUCUAGCGAGACUGCCGGUAAUAAACCGGAGGAAGGUGGGAUGACGUCAAAUCAUCAUGCCCCUUAUGACCUGGGCUACACACGUGCUACAAUGGUUGGUACAACGAGUUGCGAGUCGGUGACGGCGAGCUAAUCUCUUAAAGCCAAUCUCAGUUCGGAUUGUAGGCUGCAACUCGCCUACAUGAAGUCGGAAUCGCUAGUAAUCGCGGAUCAGCACGCCGCGGUGAAUACGUUCCCGGGCCUU